RNAcentral lists this ribosomal RNA (438 nucleotides) under uncultured bacterium. RNAcentral describes it as "partial 16S ribosomal RNA". It matches the Rfam family "Bacterial small subunit ribosomal RNA", at positions 339 to 795 of the family's 1533-position model. The record is from RNAcentral.
CUACGGGGCGCUGCAGUGGGGAAUAUUGCACAAUGGGGGAAACCCUGAUGCAGCAACGCCGCGUGGAGGAUGACACAUUUCGGUGCGUAAACUCCUUUUAUAGGUCAAGAUAAUGACGGUAGCCUAUGAAUAAGCGCCGGCUAACUCCGUGCCAGCAGCCGCGGUAAUACGGAGGGCGCAAGCGUUACUCGGAAUCACUGGGCGUAAAGAGCAUGUAGGCGGGUUAAUAAGUCAGAAGUGAAAUCCAAUAGCUCAACUAUUGAACUGCUUUUGAAACUGUUAACCUAGAGUGUGGGAGAGGUAGAUGGAAUUUCUGGUGUAGGGGUAAAAUCCGUAGAGAUCAGAAGGAAUACCGAUUGCGAAGGCGAUCUACUGGAACAUUACUGACGCUGAGAUGCGAAAGCGUGGGAGCAAACAGGAUUAGAUACCCCGGUAGUC